UUUUUAAUACAGCAUCGUCUGAGGGCCUAAAGAUCAUAAGCCUCCAACUGUGAUCUUUGGUCCCUUGUGCACAGAGCUUUGUCAGAUUACUGGAAUCUUUAGUGAACUUCUGUCCAUCUUUACUUCUGAGAAGCUUUGCAACUUCUCUGAGGAGGAAACCACUAAAAAAUGCCGCUAGUCAGUCCUUCUUCCUGACGGUAUGUUUCUUGUCACACAUGCGAACGCAGCUAAGAUCUUAUAGCAUCAUCAAUCAGCAUGAUGGAGGGAACGUAUCUGCUGUGGCUGCUCUUUCUGAACUCAUUGCUGACUUGUUCAACAAA
This is a long non-coding RNA of Oreochromis niloticus (Nile tilapia), 320 nucleotides long. RefSeq lists it as uncharacterized. The transcript has 2 exons. The record is from RefSeq and is a predicted model, not a curated record. NCBI's taxonomy places the organism in Eukaryota, Metazoa, Chordata, Actinopteri, Cichliformes, Cichlidae.